Molecule: ribosomal RNA, 253 nt
Filed under: uncultured bacterium
Lineage: Bacteria
Description: partial 16S ribosomal RNA
Rfam family: Bacterial small subunit ribosomal RNA
Source: RNAcentral
UACGAAGGGGGCUAGCGUUGUUCGGAAUUACUGGGCGUAAAGCGCGCGCAGGCGGUCUUCCAAGUCAGUGGUGAAAGCCCGGAGCUCAACUCCGGAACUGCCAUUGAAACUGUAAGACUUGAGGAUGAGAGAGGUGAGUGGAAUUCCCAGUGUAGAGGUGAAAUUCGUAGAUAUUGGGAAGAACACCGGUGGCGAAGGCGGCGACCUGGGUCGACACUGACGCUGAGGCGCGAAAGCGUGGGGAGCAAACAGG